CUAAGAGCACAUGAUGAAUGCCUUGGUGCCAACAGGCUAAGAAGGACGUGAUAAGCUGCGAUAAGUCACGGUUAGCGGCAAAUACGCUAUAACCCGUGAAUCUCCGAAUGGGGUAACCCGGCUGGAUUAAUAUUCAGUCACCACUGUGUGAAUACAUAGCACAGUGCGAGCAAUACCUGGUGAAGUGAAACAUCUCAGUAACCAGAGGAAAAUAAAACGAAAGUGAUUCCGUAAGUAGUGGCGAGCGAAAGCGGAGAAGCCCAAACCUAGAAGCUUGCUUCUAGGGGUUGUAGGACCCCGACAUGGUAGUUAGGAGGUUAGGCGAAGCGUAUGGAAAAACGCUCCACAGAGGGUGACAGACCCGUAACCGAAAACCAAAUAACACCUAGGGAGUUCCUGAGUAAUGCGUCACACGUGAAACGACGCAUGAAUCCACGCCGACCACGGCGUAAGGCUAAAUACUAGUUGGCGACCGAUAGUGAACAAGUACCGCGAGGGAAAGGUGAAAAGAACCGCUGCGAGCGGAGUGAAAUAGUACCUGAAAUCAUGUGCUUACAAGGUGUCAGAGCCCGCAAGGGUGAUGGCGUGCCUUUUGCUUAAUGAGUCUGCGAGUUAGUGUUUGUGGCGAGUCUAAGCCCCUCUGGGGCGGAGGCGAAGCGAAAGCGAGUCCGAAAUGGGCGAAUAGCUGCGGGCACUAGACCCGAAGCCGAGGUGAUCUACCUAUGGCCAGGUUGAAGCGUCAGUAACAUGACGUGAAGGACCGAACCGAUGGGCGUUGAAAAGCCCCCGGAUGAGCUGUAGGUAGGAGCGAAAGACUAAUCAAACCCGGUGAUAGCUGGUUCUCCCCGAAAUCUAUUGAGGUAGAGCCUCGUAUGCUGACCUGCGGAGGUAGAGCACUGGAUGAACUAGGGCCCAUACCCGGGUACCGAAUUCAAUCAAACUCCGAAUGCCGCAGGGUGAAAUACGGGAGGCAGAAUGCGAGGGAUAAGCUUCGUAUUCGAGAGGGAAACAACCCAGACCAGCAGCUAAGGUGCCUAAAUAUUGCUAAGUGGAAAGGAUGUGGAGUUACUUAAACAGUGAGGAUGUUGGCUUAGAGGCAGCCAUCAUUUAAACAGUGCGUAAUAGCUGACUCAUCGAGUGAUUCUGCGCCGAUAAUGAUUGGCGAUAAGCAAUAUACCGAAGCUCUGGAUGCUAGUUUACUAGCGUGGUAGGGGAGCGUUCCCACCGCAUCGAAGCAGUCGGGUAACCGUAUUGUGGAGUGGUGGGAAGUGAGGAUGCAGACAUGAGUAGCGAUAAGACAGGUGUAAUCCCUGUCCGCCGUAAACCCAAGGUUUCCUGGGGAAGGUUCGUCCUCCCAGGGUUAGUCGGGUCCUAAGUCGAGGCCGAUGGGCGUAGACGAUGGUAAGCAGGUUUAAUAUUCCUGCACCGCCGAAAUUUAAACCAGAAUGACGCGGGGUUGGAGAAGAGCGGGGUGAUGAAUGUCCCCGUCGCGCAAGCGGAUGCUAAGGCUUCGGCCAAGGUAGAUUCUUUAAAAACUCCGCCUAGAAAAGCUCUGGCGUAUACUAAGGCGCCCGUACCGUAAACCGACACAGGUGGGUGGGCAUAAGUGUGCCAAGGCGCGUGAGUGAAACCUCGUUAAGGAACUCGGCAAUCUAGCCCCGUAACUUCGGAAGAAGGGGUGCCCAGAAAUGGGUCGCAGUGAAAUGGGUCAACCGACUGUUUAACAAAAACACAGCACUCUGCAAAGUUUUAUGACGACGUAUAGGGUGUGACACGUGACCAAUGCGGAAAGAUUACGGUAAGAGGUUAGCCGCAAGGCGAAGCUUCGAGCUCAAGUCCCCGUGAAUGUCGGCCGUAACUAUAACGGUCCUAAGGUAGCGAAAUUCCUUGUCGGGUAAGUUCCGACCUGCACGAAUCGUGUAACGAGUUGACCGCUGUCUCAACGAGGAGCUCAGCGAAGUUGUAGUGGCGGUGAAGAUGCCGCCUACCCGCAGUAGGACGGAAAGACCCUAUGCACCUUUACUGUACGCUGUCACUGUUGUUUCGAUUUUAUUGCUUAGAGUAAGUGGGAGGCUUUGACUCAUCUCUUUCGGGGGAUGAUGAGCCGCCAAUGAAACACCACCCUGUGAGAUUGGAACAUCUAACCUCGGCCCAUUAUCUGGGCGAGUGACACUGGCAGCCGGUCAGUUUGACUGGGGCGGUCUCCUCCUAAAGAGUAACGGAGGAGUACGAAGGUUGGCUCAACCUGGUUGAUAAUCAGGUGACGAGUAUAUGGAUAUAAGCCAGCUUAACUGCGAGACAUACAAGUCGAGCAGGUACGAAAGUAGGUCCAAGUGAUCCGGUGGUUUAAUGUGGAAUUGCCAUCGCUCAACGGACAAAAGGUACGCUAGGGAUAACAGGCUGAUCCUGCCCAAGAGCUCAUAUCGACGGCAGGGUUUGGCACCUCGAUGUCGGCUCAUCACAUCCUGGGGCUGGAGAAGGUCCCAAGGGUCCGGCUGUUCGCCGGUUAAAGUGGUACGCGAGCUGGGUUCAGAACGUCGCGAGACAGUUCGGUCCUUAUCCACUGUGGGCGCAGGAGAUUUGAGGGGUUCAAUCCUUAGUACGAGAGGACCGGGAUUGACAAACCUAUGGUGAUCCAGUUGUUUCGUCAGAAGCACCGCUGGGCAGCUAUGUUUGGAAAGGAUAAGCGCUGAAAGCAUCUAAGCGCCAAGCCUCUCCCAAGAUGAGAUCUCCCUGAAGAACCGUGGAAGACCACCACGUUGAUAGGUUGCAGGUGUAAGCGCAGUAAUGUGUUCAGCUUAGCAAUACUAAUGUUCGUUCGGCUUUUUU
Molecule: ribosomal RNA, 2829 nt
Filed under: marine metagenome
Description: bacterial LSU rRNA
Rfam family: Bacterial large subunit ribosomal RNA
Source: RNAcentral